GUGAGGAAUAUUGCGCAAUGGAGGCAACUCUGACGCAGCCAUGCCGCGUGCAGGAAGAAGGCGCUACGCGUUGUAAACUGCUUUUAACCGGGAAGAAACCCCAGGACGUGUCCUGGGUUGACGGUACCGGAGGAAUAAGCACCGGCUAACUUCGUGCCAGCAGCCGCGGUAAUACGAAGGGUGCAAGCGUUAUCCGGAUUCAUUGGGUUUAAAGGGUGCGUAGGCGGAGCGUUAAGUCAGUGGUGAAAUCCUGCAGCUUAACUGUAGACUUGCCAUUGAUACUGGCGCUCUUGAGUGCACUUGAAGUGGGCGGAAUGUGCCGUGUAGCGGUGAAAUGCUUAGAUAUGGCACAGAACACCAAUUGCGAAGGCAGCUCACUAAGGCGAUACUGACGCUGAGGCACGAAAGCGUGGGGAACGAACAGGAUUAGAAACCCGGGUAGUCC
This 445-nucleotide ribosomal RNA is filed under the name uncultured bacterium. RNAcentral's name for it is "partial 16S ribosomal RNA". It matches the Rfam family "Bacterial small subunit ribosomal RNA", at positions 354 to 796 of the family's 1533-position model. The record is from RNAcentral.